RNAcentral lists this ribosomal RNA (768 nucleotides) under uncultured bacterium. RNAcentral's name for it is "bacterial SSU rRNA". It matches the Rfam family "Bacterial small subunit ribosomal RNA", at positions 115 to 896 of the family's 1533-position model. The record is from RNAcentral.
CCGUGGGUGAUCUGCCCUGCACUCUGGGAUAAGCCUGGGAAACUGGGUCUAAUACCGGAUAGGACCGCACUUUAGUGUGUGUGGUGGAAAGUUUUUUCGGUGUAGGAUGAGCCCGCGGCCUAUCAGCUUGUUGGUGGGGUAAUGGCCUACCAAGGCGGCGACGGGUAGCCGGACUGAGAGGUUGGUCGGCCACAUUGGGACUGAGAUACGGCCCAGACUCCUACGGGAGGCAGCAGUGGGGAAUAUUGCACAAUGGGCGCAAGCCUGAUGCAGCGGCGCCGCGUGGGGGAUGACGGCCUUCGGGUUGUAAACUCCUUUCGCCAGGGACGAAGCGUUUUGUGACGGUACCUGGAGAAGAAGCACCGGCUAACUACGUGCCAGCAGCCGCGGUAAUACGUAGGGUGCAAGCGUUGUCCGGAAUUACUGGGCGUAAAGAGCUCGUAGGUGGUUUGUCACGUCGUCUGUGAAAUUCCACAGCUUAACUGUGGGCGUGCAGGCGAUACGGGCUGACUUGAGUACUGUAGGGGUAACUGGAAUUCCUGGUGUAGCGGUGAAAUGCGCAGAUAUCAGGAGGAACACCGAUGGCGAAGGCAGGUUACUGGGCAGUUACUGACGCUGAGGAGCGAAAGCAUGGGUAGCAAACAGGAUUAGAUACCCUGGUAGUCCAUGCCGUAAACGGUGGGCGCUAGGUGUAGGGGCCUUUUGGGGUUUCUGUGCCGUAGCUAACGCAUUAAGGCGCCCCGCCUGGGGAGUACGGCCGCAAGGCUA